Long non-coding RNA from Monodelphis domestica (gray short-tailed opossum), 2593 nucleotides. RefSeq lists it as uncharacterized. NCBI's taxonomy places the organism in Eukaryota, Metazoa, Chordata, Mammalia, Didelphimorphia, Didelphidae. The record is from RefSeq and is a predicted model, not a curated record.
CUGUUUUUUUCUCUCUAAAAUUUUAACUGUCCAUUACCCUUCUUUUGUUAUUGCCAGGAUGAUGUCUUCUGUUUAAUAUCAUGAUUAAGUUUGGCCUCUGUAUCAAUUCCUUUUUCUUCUUGAAAUUUCCUUUUUUUUUUAAAUUUUGACAUGUAUUUUCUUUAUUUUUACAAACAGAGGUAGAAGUUUAAUUCACAUUGAAGGGCAACAUGAGCAGUGCUGCUUUACUUUCCUUGUCAUUGUGUGAUGGACACCAGGUCUCCCCACUACACCCGAAAUUCCUGGAGAAAUCACAGGUCUACUGGGUGUAAGAGAGGAAUCAGAUCCAAUGGUGUAAAGAGUAAAGAAUGAGCAGGAGAGGUGCAAGAAGAGAAAAAAACUCAAGAUUCCAGUGAGAGAAGAGAAGCUGAAACUCCAACCACUACUUCACUUCUUCAGCUGAGAGCCUGAAAAGCAGAUCUCCUAAGAUUGGGUCUCUCUGGAGAUCAACUGUUUCCCAGUGAACCCCUGAAUAUCUCUCACUCAAUUUAAGACAUUGUGAACUGGGACUUUGAAGAAAGCCAACUACAGAGUAAUCCUCUCUCCAAAAAUUUAUCCCCAAUCUCUCUCCCUAACUUGUCCUGGACUCUAUAACUCAAGCCAGUUAGCUCAGGAGCAGGGAUCAAAAUAGCAACUGACUGGAAGGGUCAAGGCUGAGAGUUUGAUCCCUGAAAGUUUGGGGGGGUCAGUCUGCCAGUCAAUAGGGCUUCCUCUUUACCCACUUUUCUCAACUUACACCCCUACCUCUUCCUUUCUUGUGUGAAUUCAAAUAAACUGUCUACUACUUAGAAUCAUGUCUGGCUAGUUCCUGCUACUAGGAAAGGGGGUUGCAGAUUUGGGGAGAACCAUACCUGUUCCCAAAGAGGAGGGUUAGUUCAGGAUCUUUGGGAUCUAAACAACCAGAUUCAAGGAGCAAUUCUCUCUCCUACAUUGAGGAAUAAUCUCAGGACUUGGUGGUGAAGUGGCAGUUGGUGUAUGUGAGGGACCCAGAGGCAGAAGAGUCCAUCCUGUCUCUCAACAAUAGCUGGGACCAAAAGGGAAGGCAGUGUGUCAUCUUACCAAAGCUUAUCUCUCUUGUUCUUAAUCUCCACCUCCCAGAACCAUUCUCUGAGGAGAGACAAGACUGGAUUACUUUCCCCCAAAGGGAAGAGAGUUGAAGAGCAAUCUCUUCCCCCUCUCCUCCAUUCUUUCGACUCUUUCUGUGUCUCUCUGUCUCUCUCUGUGUCUCUGUGUCUGUGUCUCUGUGUCUCUCUCUCUCUGUCUCUCUCUCUUCUCUACUCUCGCUCCCUCUCUCUCUCCAUUUCCUUUGUGUGUCUGUGUUCCCUCUCUGGUCAUAAUUACAUGGGUUUCCUUUUUCUCUUUGAAUUCUUUUCCAUUUUUUCAGUUCUAGGGAGUUUAUUUUAGAUGAAAAAAAUUUAGUUCAGUCACAAUUAUUUCAAGUCCCAAGUAGGAAACAUUCCUGAAGUUCAGGCUGAAGUACAAUACUCUGCCUAGAUUUACAUUUAUAUCUAUUGUUAUUUAACCACUGAGAAAAGAAAUUCAAAUUAAUGGAAAGGUUAGAACUGCUGAUUAUAUAAUAGCAUCUUUGUAAAGAAAGACAUUGACUGUAGACUUGCCUCAGCCUAUAUCCUCUACACAACCCUUCUUAAGCCAAGGACUCUCCUUAAUGUCUCCCUCCUCUGGUACAUAUCAAUACUUCCUUUGUUCAAUGCUUGUUUUAGUAUCUUGAGACUAGAUGCCAUAAGUUUUAUCUUUCUCAAAUUGUGAGAAACCUUUUCCCUUUUAUACAAAGUGUUUCGGGGAUCUCUCACACAGUAGCUUUGAUUAAUUUAAGGAAUAUAACAGGCUCUGUUCAAACUCAGUUUGGAAUUUUUAAUUCAAUUUAAAAAAAAGUGUUUGUACCUAAUCAAGUCCCUAUAGGUAAAUGAAAUUAAAACUAGCUAUUACAAAUACCAUCAAGAAUAUAAAUUUUAUUCUUGUAUUAAUUUUACCAGAGGAAGCUAUUUGGAAGAGUGGAUAGAGUGAAGACAUGAGGUAAAAUCAAGCCACAGACACUUAUUAACUGUCAUUUUACAUCUGCCUCUGUUUCCUCAUCUAUAAAUGGGGCUAACAAUAGGACCUGCUUUCCAGUGUUCUUGUUAAGACUGAAGGAUUUAGCAUAGAAAAUGGCACAUAGUAAAUGCAAUAAAAAGUUUUUCUAAUGACAUCUUAAAAAAUAAUAGGCAACAUAACCAUCAGUGUCAGAAGUACUUUCUCAGUUAUAGUAUAAUCACUUAUCUAGAAUAUUUGCUCCCUUUUCCCUCUUUUCUUUGGUAUCUGAUUACCUCACCUCUUUUCUCCUCUUUUUGUGACUUUCUCUUGUUUCUCAAAGAGUUUUAUAUUAAUCUUUUAAAUUAUACAUAUUUCCUCUGUAUUUUUCUCAAUGCACUAUCAGAUUGUCUUUUCUUCUUCAUAUAUACUCUGUUUUAUUUUUUCUGCAUAUAUCAUAUAUAAACUUUUAUAUCAUCAAUAUAUUAUUUUAUCUUACAUGUAUUAUUAAAAUCAAGUAUAUUUA